This 73-nucleotide transfer RNA is filed under the name Vicugna pacos (alpaca). Its description in RNAcentral is "tRNA-Ala (AGC) (tRNA-Ala-AGC-501-1)". It matches the Rfam family "tRNA". From Rfam's summary of the family: Transfer RNA (tRNA) molecules are approximately 80 nucleotides in length. Lineage: Eukaryota; Metazoa; Chordata; Mammalia; Artiodactyla; Camelidae. The record is from RNAcentral.
GGAGGGUAUAGCUCAGUGGUAGAGCAUGUGCUUAGCAUGCACAAGGUCCUGGGUUCAAUCCCCAGAACCUCCA